GAAUCCAAUGGCUUCAUGCCCACAAUGCAUCAGAUGUUUCCAUUUCUGACCAAGGAAGUCCAGUCUAAGAUUGGGGACACUGAACAGAGGACGACAUCCAUAUGCAGAUUAAAGUUGUCUAUAAUCUCUGUAUGAAUAAAACUGUUAACUCCUGUUGAGUAUAAAGCGA
Long non-coding RNA from Notothenia coriiceps (black rockcod), 169 nucleotides. RefSeq lists it as uncharacterized. The record is from RefSeq and is a predicted model, not a curated record. NCBI's taxonomy places the organism in Eukaryota, Metazoa, Chordata, Actinopteri, Perciformes, Nototheniidae. The transcript has 2 exons.